UGCCUACGGGGGGCAGCAGUGAGGAAUAUUGGACAAUGGAUGGAAAUCUGAUCCAGCCAUGCCGCGUGCAGGAAGACGGCCCUAUGGGUUGUAAACUGCUUUUGUAUGGGAGCAAUAAGGACUACGUGUAGUUUGAUGAGAGUACCAUACGAAUAAGCAUCGGCUAACUCCGUGCCAGCAGCCGCGGUAAUACGGAGGAUGCGAGCGUUAUCCGGAUUUAUUGGGUUUAAAGGGUGCGUAGGCGGCACAUUAAGUUAGUGGUGAAAUAUUUCGGCUUAACCGAGAGACUGCCAUUGAUACUGAUGAGCUAGAAUAUGGAUGCUGUGGGUGGAAUGUGUGGUGUAGCGGUGAAAUGCUUAGAUAUCACACAGAAUAUCAAUUGCGAAGGCAGCUCACAAAGCCAUAAUUGACGCUGAGGCACGAAAGUGUGGGGAUCAAACAGGAUUAGAUACCCGUGUAGUCG
RNAcentral lists this ribosomal RNA (463 nucleotides) under uncultured Bacteroidales bacterium. RNAcentral describes it as "bacterial SSU rRNA". It matches the Rfam family "Bacterial small subunit ribosomal RNA", at positions 335 to 796 of the family's 1533-position model. Lineage: Bacteria; Pseudomonadati; Bacteroidota; Bacteroidia; Bacteroidales. The record is from RNAcentral.